This is a non-coding RNA of Tulasnella sp. 418, 86 nucleotides long. Lineage: Eukaryota; Fungi; Basidiomycota; Agaricomycetes; Cantharellales; Tulasnellaceae. The record is from the annotation of a GenBank genome assembly.
GGGUUUAUGGUCCAAUGGUAGGAUAUACCUCAAUGAAUCUCGCAAUCAUUGAGGUAUGGUCCCCGGUUCGAUUCCGGGUAAACCCC